UGGGGAAUAUUGGACAAUGGGCGAAAGCCUGAUCCAGCCAUGCCGCGUGUGUGAAGAAGGUCUUCGGAUUGUAAAGCACUUUAAGUUGGGAGGAAGGGCAGUAAGCUAAUACCUUGCUGUUUUGACGUUACCGACAGAAUAAGCACCGGCUAACUCUGUGCCAGCAGCCGCGGUAAUACAGAGGGUGCAAGCGUUAAUCGGAAUUACUGGGCGUAAAGCGCGCGUAGGUGGUUUGUUAAGUUGGAUGUGAAAGCCCCGGGCUCAACCUGGGAACUGCAUCCAAAACUGGCAAGCUAGAGUACGGUAGAGGGUGGUGGAAUUUCCUGUGUAGCGGUGAAAUGCGUAGAUAUAGGAAGGAACACCAGUGGCGAAGGCGACCACCUGGACUGAUACUGACACUGAGGUGCGAAAGCGUGGGGAGCAAACAGGAUUAGAUACCCAGGUAGUCCCUGAGCGGGCUGGCAAGGCGCAU
Molecule: ribosomal RNA, 472 nt
Filed under: uncultured bacterium
Lineage: Bacteria
Description: bacterial SSU rRNA
Rfam family: Bacterial small subunit ribosomal RNA
Source: RNAcentral